Molecule: ribosomal RNA, 345 nt
Filed under: uncultured bacterium
Lineage: Bacteria
Description: bacterial SSU rRNA
Rfam family: Bacterial small subunit ribosomal RNA
Source: RNAcentral
CCCUUUCGGGGGUACUCGAGCGGCGAACGGGUGAGUAACACGUGAGUAACCUGCCUCUGGCUUUGGGAUAACCCUCGGAAACGGGGGCUAAUACCGAAUAUUCAUUGUGACCGGCAUCGGUUGUGGUGGAAAGUUUUUCGGCCAGGGAUGGGCUCGCGGCCUAUCAGCUUGUUGGUGGGGUAAUGGCCUACCAAGGCUUCGACGGGUAGCCGGCCUGAGAGGGCGACCGGCCACACUGGGACUGAGACACGGCCCAGACUCCUACGGGAGGCAGCAGUGGGGAAUAUUGCACAAUGGGCGGAAGCCUGAUGCAGCGACGCCGCGUGAGGGAUGACGGCCUUCGGG